ACCGCAUACGUCCUACGGGAGAAAGCAGGGGAGCGCUUCGGGCCUUGCGCUAUCAGAUGAGCCUAGGUCGGAUUAGCUAGUUGGUGAGGUAGAUGGCUCACCAAGGCUACGAUGCGUAACUGGUCUGAGAAGAUGAGCAGUCACACUGGAGGUGAGACACGGUCCACCCUCCUGCGGGAGGCAGCAGUGGGGAAUGUUGGACAAUGGGCGAAAGCCUGAUGCCAGACGGGCCGCGGGUGUGAAGAAGGUCUUCGG
This 255-nucleotide ribosomal RNA is filed under the name uncultured bacterium. Its description in RNAcentral is "partial 16S ribosomal RNA". It matches the Rfam family "Bacterial small subunit ribosomal RNA", at positions 168 to 421 of the family's 1533-position model. The record is from RNAcentral.